Molecule: ribosomal RNA, 553 nt
Filed under: Nematoda environmental sample
Lineage: Eukaryota; Metazoa; Nematoda
Description: bacterial SSU rRNA
Rfam family: Eukaryotic small subunit ribosomal RNA
Source: RNAcentral
UAGCUCUUUCUUGAUUCAGUGGAUGGUAAUGCAUGGCCGUUCUUAGUUGGUGGAGCGAUUUGUCUGGUUAAUUCCGAUAACGAACGAGACUCCGGCCUACUAACUAGAACGUAGAUUUUUUGUCUACGAGACUUCUUAGAGGGACUCGGGGCGUCUAGCCACACGAAAUGGAGCGAUAACAGGUCUGUAAUGCCCUUAGAUGUCCGGGGCCGCACGCGCGCUACACUGAAGGAAGCAACAAGCUAUACCCUGGUUCGAAAGGACUGGGUAACCUUGUGAAACUCCUUCGUGAUUGGGAUAGGGACUUGCAAUUAUUUCCCUUGAACGAGGAAUUCCUAGUAAGUGUGGGUCAUCAUCUCGCGUUGAUUACGUCCCUGCCCUUUGCCCCCACCGCCCGUCGCUACUACCGAUUGAAUGAAAUACUGAAAUUGACGGAUUGGUCUUUUGGUGGCUUCGCGGCUGCCAUUGUGACUGAGAAAUCACUUAAAGUGUUUCAUUUAGAGGAAGUAAAAGUCGUAACAAGGUUUCCGUAGGUGAACCUGCAGAAGGAUCA